CCUCCCCGGGCGGCCAUUGGUCUCCCAAGGUAGCUCGCGCUACCCUGCCGCGCCGCCAUUGGCCGAUCCGCUCGCCGCUCACGCGCCGGCCACCGGCGAGGAGCCUUCCCUGAUUGGGCACCGCGGCCCUGUUUCGUUAACAACUGGCUGCCCUUCUCGUCAAUCAAGGCGCUGCGCACCGAGCCUGCCUUUCUCCGCUCUUUUUCCCCCGGCCUCGCAGCCUGGGCAGGACUGACGGAAGCGGCUGACAAAAUAAUGCUAGCAUCUGGACAGAAAAAAAAACCACACUCAGAUACAUUCUCACCAUGGUGACCUACAAGAGAACUGUCACAACAGAAGCUGCUGUUGCCACUACAAUUUCCAGAACUCCUGCUGUUUGUGUUGCUGCUGAAGAGAAAAUCCACUGCCCUUUGCUGCACUUAAAGCUCAUGAGGCAAGCCUUUUGGUGGAGGCAGGCAAAAACCCAAAAGAGAAGAACGCUCUGAUGUGCAGCUGCACCAUCUCCUUGGCUCCUUGGAGAAAUCACUGGAAAUCAUAUCCCUGUGUGUGGUCACAGAAGAAAGCUCAGUAAAUUCUGGCUUGGUGGGUGAGUCAGCGUGAGUCAUCAACAGAAAUACCGUCCUACGUUAUACGAAGCUGCAAGGUACAUUUAGAAACAUUCCGCAGUAACAAAAUAAUGCCGUCCUCCUGCUUUUUGUCUAGAUGACACUAAUGACACUCCCAACUUUCCUAAAAUACUGUAAGCAUCCUUACCUCAACAUGUGAGGUUAAAAAAAAAAUCCCUCUUUAUUUUGCUGUUUUCAAUAAGCAAAGCCAACACAAAUAUGAAAAGCCUUUGGGUAAGCCUCAGGUUGCACAUGAAGUCAUUUACAUAGCUGCAUUACACUGACUGACAACUGAGCAACACCUGCUUUUCAGGUGGAUUUCUGAUUACUUGAGUGAGACAUGCUGGGUUUAUUUUUAGCUCUUCCAAUUUUAAUUGUUUCCAUCACUCAAAAUUUCAAGCAGGUAAUAAGAUACUAUGACAAAUGAAGAUAUUUAGCCAACAUCACGAACUGUGUAAUUGUAAGGUUGAAACUAUUCCUGUUUUCUCCUCUUCCACUUUUCUUAAUUUCUGUGGAAAAGGUUUAUUUUUCUACUCCUUAUAUUUCAUUUUCCUCCAAAACAUAUUUUAUUCUGUUCCCGCAUGUCCUUCUGUAUACGAUUUCCGAACAUAUCGUAACUAUACAGCUACAACAGAAACAGGUUUUUUCACUACUUCUCAUAUUAAUUUUGAGAGCUCUAAUAUUUACUCUAGCACUGCUCAAGAUGAAGAAAAUUUCACAUGUAACAUGGCUGUACUCGCAGUCUAGAGUACGGAACAGCAGGGCAUUCACAGAGAGCUAUUUGGCCAGCUGAACACCUUGAACUCCAGUCUGGAAACCAAAUCCACUGCUGCAGUUAGUCAUCCCUCUGGAUCCCGCUUAUCCCAGUGAUGCCACACAGAUGCAGCCAGAUUCACAUCAGCUAAUCUAGUUACAAAACAGAGGCCCUGUUCCUAUCAGAUAUGUUAAAAUCCAUGUAAACAGAAAUGGCUUAACCUCUUAUUUUAAACUGCAGACUCUUUUUUUUCCACUGUUCUUCCAAUAGCUUAGCAAAUGCAUUCUGAAUUUGUCCUCUCAUUAUCUCAAAGGGAGGAUGUUUCCUGGAUUUGCUCCUAACCAUUGUGUUUUGGUUCACUAAUCAAUUCUUUUCCUAGCCAAGUUUUCUAUGUAUCAUCUACUUAGCAUUGCAGACAACUAAUACUGUGAUUCAUUCAGUGUUGCUUUAUGUAGUAGUCUUAGCAAAAACUUAUGGCUUUAUUAUUCUUUAAUUACAUAUUAUGUUAACUCAUACACUAAGUAAAAGAGGGUACAGUUGCUUGUGCUGCUGCCACCGAUUGUUUCGAUUUUUUUAAGGCAUUCAUUGUAUUCGGAACUUGUCUAUUAAAUAAUGGCCUUUGAGAUGCCAGAUGAAGGAAUGCCAGUUUUGUGAAUCCAUUUGAAUUCACGAGUGAAUUAUUGUCAAUGGGAGAAGCAGCCCUAAGCACACCUUGCAAAAUGGCAGAGGCUCUCUGAAGACUUUACAAGAAGCUCUGAGGGCAAAGGAUAUUGUGUCAGAGGCACUUUUGUGUUGGGUUUGGCUUCCUGUCUGAAAGUGCAACCACAAGGACAAAUUCAAAGAUGCAUUUAGCUAAUUAUCUACACUGUAUACUCACUGGGCAGUCAGAGGUAACAAUUUUGCACAUACAGACUAAAUAUUUCAGCAUUCAACCCAAGUCACUGUCAAAUCAAUGUUUUAUUCCAACUGCUCUUGUAGGAUGUUGCUGUGUUUUGGACAUUUGCUGCUGUAAACAGUGGAAACUAGAAAAAGUUUUCCGCAGACAAACUGAUUAUUGUAGAUAUGUAUGUACACAGUACACACUUGCACACACUUAGGUACCUUUUUAGAACAUAUUCUCAGCAGAUAGCCUGUCAACAAAGGGUCAAUAUUCAAUAUACUUUUCAUAUUUAAGUACUUAUUCAAAAAUGUAAAGCAGUGCCUAUUUUUGUAAAAUCAUUUUCAAAUGUUAUUGGAAGCAACUCUCAGUCUUCUGACGCAUUACUCUUUCUUCUGCAUUCCCUACAACUAAACUGGGUCGAUGAGCAAUAAUUUAAGCUAUAAAAGCUGAGGCAAAUUCCCGAUCUCCUUAUGCUUUCUAUCAGCAACUGAAUCUCACAUUUAUGUAAUUUUUGAGGAUUUUAUGUCUAAAUUUGCUAAAAGUAAGGGAAAUUCACUCUUGUAACCAUACAACAGAUACAGAACAGAGGAUUUGACAAAGAUGAUUUAACAUCUGGCUGAAGUAGAUGACAAAAUAAACAACAAUUCUUGAGAUACCUUUGCCGGAGGAUUCCUCUUCCCUCAGAGCCUGAAGGAAGUACAUGGGAUUUCCUUUUGUUUCUUUUCUUUCACCACAAAUUAUCCCAGAAGAAACCUCAAAAUUGAUGUGCACAGACUCACUCCUGAAAACUUCAAGUCAGACCCGUGGAGCUGGAGAGAGUAUGAGUAAUUCAGUGAGUGAGUUCACAAACUGAAAAACCACAGGUGUUUUCCUUCUCUCCCUUAGAUGCUCUCAGGUGCUCUUAAGAGUGAAUUUCUCUGCCACAUGAAAGAGGCACAAUUCCUGCUCUGUAUCUCACCUACUCUGGAAAUGAAAGUUCUAAUCUCCCUGAGUGCUCUGGUAGCGUUGUGAAUGAGAGCUGCAGCCAGCCUCCACUCACUCUCAUUCAGGCCAUCUGAAUGGGUGAGAUGCACUUGUUGCCAGGUCUUUGGUAUCUCUUGAAUUUGCUACUUGAUUGAACUACACAGAUACUGAACGUGUACCCAGAAAAGCAUUUAGGCAUGUCAGUGCAAUGAGAGAAUUCUGGCAUGACUCUGGAUGUGGCAACUCUGGCCUUUGUGACUGGGUGAUGGGAUGAUACUGCAAGAUUUCAGGAAGGCUUAUUCCAAGGACUUAGGGCUUUAAUCUUAAAACUACAUGUAGUCCCUGCACUAUGGCACAUAGCAUUGAUUUUUCUCGUUUAAGUCAUUCCUGAAUUUGCUUAUUCAGAAUGAUUUCUUGUCAUUCUAUCUAAAUACCUGUGGAUGAACUUAGCUUGUAUUUUUGUAUUCUGUGUCACUGUUAGAAAGGGACUAGUAAAGGCUUUUUCUAUUCUAGCACCAGGAGGAUUUCCUAAGAUGAAAAUGCUGAGUAAUCUUGGUCAUUUUCCAGUAUGCUGCUUCAUUUAAUGUAAUUUAGAGCAUCAUUUUCAUGCCUGCAGCAUUUAGGUAAUCACUAGCUAAGAGCUGCUGAUAGCAUCAAACAUUUGGCUCUGCCAUACAGACCUACUGCUGCAUUUUCUAGCUUUGAUAAAUUGUAUGUCAAAAUCAGGUACAAGUGUUUGUUUCUAAUCAAAAAAAGAGAGAGAAUGAAAAGAUGGAAGCAAGCCCCAGAGCAACAGAUCAGACUGAAGUUUUUUGUUAAUUAAUGCUAUGUAAACCAUCUGUUUUAGCACAAAAUGUUAAAUUAUCUUUUAGCAUCCCUUAGCCUUCUUUAUUUAUUUGAUUAAAAAAAAAAAAGUAAUUCUAAAAGCAAAAAUGAACAAUGGUAGAAUCAAAUUAAGCUUGUUCACUGACAGUGACCCUUUACUCUGGCUGGCAAUAUUUAAUAUUACUUUGAGAAUUCUUGCACAAAUACAAUGACUAUACAAAUACAAAUGUAGGGCAGGAGAUCUGACAGUAUUUCACAGGCCGAUGUGUAACUUCUUUGAUUGUAUGCAUAUACAUGUGUAGUUCUGAUUAAAAAAAUAAACAUAGGUUUGACUGAAAAUACCUGAUGCUAUCUGAGUUAGUUCACACGCAUAAUUUCCACCCUUAAGCCUAUGACAUUAACCACGGCUUAGCUCAGGCUGCUGCAGCUACAGGCAGAGAGUGCAGAGGGGCAGGGCGCUGGAGGCUUGGAUGUGAGACUGAAAGCCUAGAGGUGCAUGGGUGAUGGUGAGGUCCAUAGAGUACAUCUGUAUCUGAAAGACAGCUACAUACAUGCCAGAUGCUUUGUUUUCUUUAUGCACAUCAAUAUGUUCACAUAGACUGACUGUGGGCAGUGUUAAUGUCUUGAAAAGAAAAUGGAAGCAGCUGAGUGAGCUUUUACUGGGUGGGAAAAUAGGAGGCAUUGAGGAGGUAGCAGUAGAAACUGCAGAUUAUAUAUGCUGAGGGAAAAAAAUUGCAUCAAACAUGAGCAUGUAAGAGCUGCUGGGUGUCCCAGUGCAUAGUGCUGAGCCAACAUUGUUCUGCUCUCUGAACUGAUUGAUGAGCAGAUUUGACAUUCAGCAGCUCUAGCCGCAACAGGCAAUGACCAAUUUUGGAGGGAAGACAAUACACUGGGGAAGAGGUACUGGGCAUUCAGUAUGGUUGGGGUAAGGCUAGCUCUGGCUCAAAGCCACAUCCCGAGUCUUUUCCCAGCCAGUUUGGCACAGAAUUGCUCUGUGGUAUAAGCACCGUCCUUCACUAGAUGUUACUGAUGGUUCAAACCCAUUAAUGAAAGACUUGUUUGUGCAGCAAUUUUUGUACAGAAAGUGUGAGGGCACUGGAAAAUGGGAUAAGAGGAGGUCUGUGCUGCUUGCAGACUGAGACAAUGAGGUGUGUGGGAUGGUAGAACUGCCUACGAGACUUCCCUGUACAGCACUGUGGGAACUGAGCAACCAGCAGGCUUCCCUGAUGGCGUGCUGAUACCCAUGCUUUCCUGCUGACAGCUGCUUUGCUUCGAGGCCAGGGCAGAGUGGGCAGCCAUUGCAAGGACCUAGGGGCAGGGACACUCAGCCAGAAGACAGUGCAGUGGAAACCGAUGCAUGUAAAAAUGCUUAAUUAUGCAGUGCUUAAUGAUAUACAUUAUAUCUAAAUGUACAGAACAAUGAG
Numida meleagris (helmeted guineafowl) is the source of this 5451-nucleotide long non-coding RNA. RefSeq lists it as uncharacterized. Lineage: Eukaryota; Metazoa; Chordata; Aves; Galliformes; Numididae. The record is from RefSeq and is a predicted model, not a curated record. The transcript is spliced from 4 exons.